CCAUAUCAAUAAGCGGAGGAAAAGAAACCAACAGGGAUUGCCCCAGUAACGGCGAGUGAAGCGGCAACAGCUCAGAUUUGGAAUCUGGCCCCCAGGGCCCGAGUUGUAAUCUGGAGAGGAUGCUUCUGGCGCGGCGCCUUCCGAGUUCCCUGGAACGGGACGCCGGAGAGGGUGAGAGCCCCGUACGGUUGGACGCCUAGCCUUUGUGAAGCUCCUUCGACGAGUCGAGUAGUUUGGGAAUGCUGCUCAAAAUGGGAGGUAAAUUUCUUCUAAAGCUAAAUACCGGCCAGAGACCGAUAGCGCACAAGUAGAGUGAUCGAAAGAUGAAAAGCACUUUGAAAAGAGGGUCAAACAGUACGUGAAAUUGUUGAAAGGGAAGCGCCCGUGGCCAGACUUGUGCCCCGCGGACCACCCGGCGCCCUCAGCGCCGGUGCACUCCGCGGGGCGCAGGCCAGCAUCGGUUUUCCUAGGGGGAUAAAGGCGGCGGGAACGUGGCUCCUUCGGGAGUGUUAUAGCCCGUCGUGCCAUGCCCCUGGGGGGACCGAGGACCGCGCUUCGGCAAGGAUGCUGGCGUAAUGGCCACCGGCGACCCGUCUUGAAACACGGACCAAGGAGUCAAGCAUUGGGGCGAGUGUCUGGGUGCCAAACCCGCACGCGAAAUGAAAGUGAACGCAGGUGAGAGCUUCGGCGCAUCAUCGACCGAUCCUGAUGUUCUCGGAUGGAUUUGAGUAAGAGCCUUACCGCUUGGACCCGAAAGAUGGUGAACUAUGCCUGUAUAGGGUGAAGCCAGAGGAAACUCUGGUGGAGGCUCGCAGCGGUUCUGACGUGCAAAUCGAUCGUCAAAUAUGGGCAUGGGGGCGAAAGACUAAUCGAACCAUCUAGUAGCUGG
This 889-nucleotide ribosomal RNA is filed under the name Leptographium pistaciae. RNAcentral describes it as "LSU rRNA". It matches the Rfam family "Eukaryotic large subunit ribosomal RNA", at positions 38 to 954 of the family's 3401-position model. Lineage: Eukaryota; Fungi; Ascomycota; Sordariomycetes; Ophiostomatales; Ophiostomataceae. The record is from RNAcentral.